RNAcentral lists this transfer RNA (69 nucleotides) under Scinax flavoguttatus (yellowbelly snouted treefrog). RNAcentral describes it as "tRNA-Val". It matches the Rfam family "tRNA". Rfam says of the family: Transfer RNA (tRNA) molecules are approximately 80 nucleotides in length. Their secondary structure includes four short double-helical elements and three loops (D, anti-codon, and T loops). Lineage: Eukaryota; Metazoa; Chordata; Amphibia; Anura; Hylidae. The record is from RNAcentral.
CAAAACAUAGCUUAACUAAAGCAUCUCGCCUACACCGAGAAAAUAUCUGUUAAACUCAGGUCGUUUUGA